Shewanella sp. is the source of this 38-nucleotide regulatory RNA element. It matches the Rfam family "JUMPstart RNA". NCBI's taxonomy places the organism in Bacteria, Pseudomonadati, Pseudomonadota, Gammaproteobacteria, Alteromonadales, Shewanellaceae. The record is from Rfam.
AGGCAUUUUGGGAGCCUAAAUCCAAGGGCGGUAGCGUG